AGAGUUUGAUCCUGGCUCAGAUUGAACGCUGGCGGCAUGCCUUACACAUGCAAGUCGAGCGGCAGCGCGGGGGCAACCCUGGCGGCGAGCGGCGAACGGGUGAGUAAUGCAUCGGAACGUAUCCAAUAGUGGGGGAUAGGCCGGCGAAAGCCGGGUUAAUACCGCAUACGCCCUGAGGGGGAAAGUGGGGGACCGUAAGG
This 200-nucleotide ribosomal RNA is filed under the name uncultured bacterium. RNAcentral's name for it is "partial 16S ribosomal RNA". It matches the Rfam family "Bacterial small subunit ribosomal RNA", at positions 8 to 209 of the family's 1533-position model. The record is from RNAcentral.